AAGCUAGCUCAUCUGGUCGUCUGAAUGUGUUUCUGUAGAGAUUUAGAAGCAGCUGGCAACAGUGAUGCCAUGGUACAAGCUGAAGAGCAGCCAAGGUAGCCCGGGUCCCUGAAAACAGCUGAAAUA
This 126-nucleotide small nucleolar RNA is filed under the name Jaculus jaculus (lesser Egyptian jerboa). RNAcentral describes it as "Small nucleolar RNA SNORA33 (ENSJJAG00000007497.1)". The record is from RNAcentral. Lineage: Eukaryota; Metazoa; Chordata; Mammalia; Rodentia; Dipodidae.